Molecule: long non-coding RNA, 2139 nt
Filed under: Homo sapiens (human)
Lineage: Eukaryota; Metazoa; Chordata; Mammalia; Primates; Hominidae
Description: HSALNT0331678
Source: RNAcentral
AAGCCCACUGAACUGCAUAGAAGAGCCAAGAGUUAUUCAACCUGCCCAAGUAAUUCUAUUACACCACCAACAUCAGAACCAUGCUUUAUGGAUGCUUCAACUACAAAUGGCAAGUUUCUUAUCUUUGGAGAGGACUGAAAUCAAAGGUCAGAACAUCAACAAAAAAGCAAAGUAUUCUUUUGGAACAAGCUCCAUAUCUAGAGAAACAGCUGAUUCUAGUGAGAAUUUCAGUAGUUCCUAGAGAGUGACUGUGGAAAAGGCAAGCACAGCAGGAGACACCUGAGAUUGCACUGGAUGCAGGGAGUGAGGUGCCAAUUGUGGCUGGAACUAUAGGAAGGAGCGGGCAGGCCAGAGCUGUUUCCCUGGGAUUCCAGAACAGAAGGCUGUGCCACACAGAGGUCCCCUGGGUCACAAUAGCAGCUGAAUCUCAGUGGCCAUGACAGCAAGGCAACAACGGGGCCAGCUCCCCAAGGUCCAUGUAAGUGCAGCUGCCCAGGACUCCCCUUGCUGUCCAGACAUAGGCUCUCCUACCUGCUUCCAACUUCAGUUCUGUGGCAUUUCCAGGAAAUAUGGGUAGUUAACACAUAACCAUGCUCAAUGAGAGCCAACCUGUGGCUGUGCGGCCCUUUCUCGGCACGUGGCCCAAGCCUGUGCUGGGUCUACGCAGUGAAGUACAAGGUAAAAAGAAGGCAAGCAGCUUCUUACACCUCCCUCCCAGUGCUGAACCUAGACAAAAUGUACCCCUCUUAGCACCUUUAGGAACUUUUCCUAGAGAAACAAGAAUGGCAGGCACCUAUCUGAGUGUGCUUGGUUCCUCUUGGAUAUAAAGUGCAAGCCUGUGUCACCUUCUGUGUCACUCAGGAUUAAACGUUUAUGACAUCCCACCACUGAUCUAAAAGGAUCCACUCACAGAGGAAAAUGAAGACUGAAAAGCCAACACCAACACCACCCUUCUGUGCUUCUCAGCACUUCUGGGCCUUCACGUCCUCCUUUUCCUCCCCCACCUUUAUAAGCACUCUCCUUUUCUUCAAUAUACACUCCAAACCCUCUCCGUCCCACCUUAAGUGAUCUGCCUUGAGCUGAGCCCGUUUUUUAAACAGAUUUAUCUUAAUUCCAAGGCCAGAAUUCAGGUAGGAAGCCACAAAAACCAAUCUGCAGCUAAUUGAAUCAGAAAUCUAUGAAAGGUACAGUGCAGACUGAAGAAGAUGACUGAGAGGCUUCAUAAUGAGGAACAGCACCCAAAAUCACGCUGCGGAACAGCUCUCAGAGAACAGCACUGCAGUGACAGAGACGGCACCACUGCAGCACCAGCGCCGGUGCAGGACUGGAUGCUCAUGCACAUCUCAGGCCUCCAGAUGCCCGCGACCUUCUCCCCUUCAGCCUCUUCCAUAACCACACUACUCCUUUCCUCCAUCGGCUUCUCCCCUGACUGCACAGAAGCCCAUUUCCCCACCAUGACGAAAAAAAACCUUUCCCAGAUCUAAGGCAAAGGGAAAAACAUACAAGACAGAAUGUAAAUUUGUGCUGCCAGGGGCUGGGAAAGGAGGGGAUGGGGAGUGACUGAUGAAUGGGUAUGGGCUCUCCUUCCGGAGUGAUCAAAAAGUGUUCUGGAACUAGAGUGGUAAAGAAGGUACGACCUCGUAAAUGUACUAAAUGUCAGUAAUGAUAAAUUGUAUGUUACAUGUUACCACCAAAACAACAAAAACAUCUCUGGCCUCCCUCAGAUUCCACGAUAUUACUCAGUACUUUUGUUCUCUCUCCUCUCCCCUCCCUCCCUAGCUUCCUUCUCUUCCAAGCCUGAAAUGCAAACAUUUUCCUCCUCCUCACUCUCAUCCUUCUGUCUCCACAUUCUCUCAUUUGGAGAUAUCAUCUAUGAUCAGUAGCAAUUCCACUAUCCACCCUAAGGAAGAGAGCUCUACAGCAAACCUUAGAAAACUUUUUCAGUGAAGGGCCAGAGAGUAAACAUUUCAGGCUUUCAAAGCCACAUGGUCUCUGUUGCAGCUAUUUAACUCUAUGUGGAAGCAGCCAGAAACAAUAAGUAAACAGGUGUUCUAUGCUCUAACAAACCUUUAUUUACAAAAACAGGGCUUGCCGUGGUGGCUUACACCUGUAAUCCCAGCACUUUGAGAGGCUGAGGUG